GGUCGCGUCCUAUCAGCUUGUUGGCGGGGUGAGGGCCCACCUUUGGCGUUGACGGGUAGCCGGCCUGAGAGGGCGACCGGCCACAUUGGGACUGAGAUACGGCCCAGACUCCUACGGGAGGCAGCAGUGGGGAAUAUUGCACAAUGGGCGCAAGCCUGAUGCAGCGACGCCGCGUGCGGGAUGGAGGCCUUCGGGUUGUAAACCGCUUUUGUUUGGGAGCAAGCCCUUCGGGGUGAGUGUACCUUUCGAAUAAGCACCGGCUAACUACGUGCCAGCAGCCGCGGUAAUACGUAGGGUGCGAGCGUUAUCCGGAAUUAUUGGGCGUAAAGGGCUCGUAGGCGGUUCGUCGCGUCCGGUGUGAAAGUCCAUCGCUUAACGGUGGAUCCGCGUCGGGUACGGGCGGGCUGGAGUGCGGUAGGGGAGACUGGAAUUCCCGGUGUUAACGGUGGA
RNAcentral lists this ribosomal RNA (450 nucleotides) under Bifidobacterium boum. RNAcentral's name for it is "bacterial SSU rRNA". It matches the Rfam family "Bacterial small subunit ribosomal RNA", at positions 229 to 685 of the family's 1533-position model. The record is from RNAcentral. Lineage: Bacteria; Bacillati; Actinomycetota; Actinomycetes; Bifidobacteriales; Bifidobacteriaceae.